This 522-nucleotide ribosomal RNA is filed under the name Pseudomonas sp. 12822. RNAcentral describes it as "bacterial SSU rRNA". It matches the Rfam family "Bacterial small subunit ribosomal RNA", at positions 1 to 522 of the family's 1533-position model. Lineage: Bacteria; Pseudomonadati; Pseudomonadota; Gammaproteobacteria; Pseudomonadales; Pseudomonadaceae. The record is from RNAcentral.
UGGAGAGUUUGAUCCUGGCUCAGAUUGAACGCUGGCGGCAGGCCUAACACAUGCAAGUCGAGCGGAUGACGGGAGCUUGCUCCUUGAUUCAGCGGCGGACGGGUGAGUAAUACCUAGGAAUCUGCCUGAUAGUGGGGGACAACGUUUCGAAAGGAACGCUAAUACCGCAUACGUCCUACGGGAGAAAGCAGGGGACCUUCGGGCCUUGCGCUAUCAGAUGAGCCUAGGUCGGAUUAGCUAGUUGGUGAGGUAAUGGCUCACCAAGGCGACGAUCCGUAACUGGUCUGAGAGGAUGAUCAGUCACACUGGAACUGAGACACGGUCCAGACUCCUACGGGAGGCAGCAGUGGGGAAUAUUGGACAAUGGGCGAAAGCCUGAUCCAGCCAUGCCGCGUGUGUGAAGAAGGUCUUCGGAUUGUAAAGCACUUUAAGUUGGGAGGAAGGGCAGUAAGCUAAUACCUUGCUGUUUUGACGUUACCGACAGAAUAAGCACCGGCUAACUCUGUGCCAGCAGCCGCGGUA